Molecule: ribosomal RNA, 681 nt
Filed under: Bacillus sp. (in: firmicutes)
Lineage: Bacteria; Bacillati; Bacillota; Bacilli; Caryophanales; Bacillaceae
Description: bacterial SSU rRNA
Rfam family: Bacterial small subunit ribosomal RNA
Source: RNAcentral
CUUGCUCCUGCAUGUUAGCGUCGGAGGGUGAGUAACACGCUGGGUAACCUGCCUGUAAGACUGGGAUAACUCCGUGAAACCGUGGCUAAUACCGGAUGGAUGUUUGAACCGCAUGGUUCAAACAUAAAAGGUGGCUUCGGUUACCACUUACAGAUGGACCCGCGGCGCAUUAGCUAGUUGGUGAGGUAACGGCUCACCAAGGCAACGAUGCGUACUCGACCUGAGAGGGUGAUCGGCCACACUGGGACUGAGACACGGCCCAGACUCCUACGGGAGGCAGCAAUAGGGAAUCUUCCGCAAUGGACGAAAGUCUGACGGAGCAACGCCGCGUGAGUGAUGAAGGUUUUCGGAUCGUAAAGCUCUGUUGUUAGGGAAGAACAAGUACCGUUCGAAUAGGGCGGUACCUUGACGGUACCUAACCAGAAAGCCACGGCUAACUACGUGCCAGCAGCCGCGGUAAUACGUAGGUGGCAAGCGUUGUCCGGAAUUAUUGGGCGUAAAGGGCUCGCAGGCGGUUUCUUAAGUCUGAUGUGAAAGCCCCCGGCUCAACCGGGGAGGGUCAUUGGAAACUGGGGAACUUGAGUGCAGAAGAGGAGAGUGGAAUUCCACGUGUAGCGGUGAAAUGCGUAGAGAUGUGGAGGAACAGCAGCUGGACGAAGGCGACUCUCUGGUCUGUAACUG